Molecule: transfer RNA, 94 nt
Filed under: Pseudomonadota bacterium
Lineage: Bacteria; Pseudomonadati; Pseudomonadota
Also listed under: 5 other names
Description: tRNA-Ser
Rfam family: tRNA
About the family: Transfer RNA (tRNA) molecules are approximately 80 nucleotides in length. Their secondary structure includes four short double-helical elements and three loops (D, anti-codon, and T loops).
Source: RNAcentral
GGAGAGGUGUCCGAGUGGUUGAAGGAGCUCGCCUCGAAAGCGAGUAUACCCGUUAAGCCGGGUAUCCAGGGUUCGAAUCCCUGCCUCUCCGCCA